GACGAACGCUGGCGGCGUGCUUAACACAUGCAAGUCGAACGGAAAGGCCCUGCUUUUGUGGGGUGCUCGAGUGGCGAACGGGUGAGUAACACGUGAGUAACCUGCCCUUGACUUUGGGAUAACUUCAGGAAACUGGGGCUAAUACCGGAUAGGAGCUCCUGCUGCAUGGUGGGGGUUGGAAAGUUUCGGCGGUUGGGGAUGGACUCGCGGCUUAUCAGCUUGUUGGUGGGGUAGUGGCUUACCAAGGCUUUGACGGGUAGCCGGCCUGAGAGGGUGACCGGCCACAUGGGGACUGAGAUACGGCACAGACUCCUAGGGGGGGCAGGAGUGGGGAAUAUUGCAAAAGGGGCGGAAGCCUGAUGCAGAAGCGCCGCGUGGGGGAUGACGGCCUUCGGGUUGUAAACCGCUUUCGCCUGUGACGAAGCGUGAGUGAGGGUAAGGGGUAAAGAAGCACCGGCUAACUACG
Molecule: ribosomal RNA, 466 nt
Filed under: uncultured bacterium
Lineage: Bacteria
Description: partial 16S ribosomal RNA
Rfam family: Bacterial small subunit ribosomal RNA
Source: RNAcentral